RNAcentral lists this ribosomal RNA (451 nucleotides) under Pinnularia borealis complex sp. RNAcentral describes it as "partial 28S ribosomal RNA". Lineage: Eukaryota; Bacillariophyta; Bacillariophyceae; Sellaphorales; Pinnulariaceae. The record is from RNAcentral.
GCGACUGAACUGUCACUAGCUCAGCAUGUGAAUCCGCGUCCACUCUCGUGAGCGCUGAAUUGUGGUCUUUUGGURCUUGCGUUAAUUCAUGUCCAGUCCAUGUUUUUUGGAACAAAACAGCAAAGAGGGUGAAACUCCCGUGCGACUGGACGAACAAAGCAAGCACUACUGAGUCGAGUUGUUUGGGAUUGCAGCUCAAAUUAGGUGGUAAAUUUCAUCUACAGCUAAAUACUGGUAGGAGACCGAUAGCGUACAAGUACCGUGAGGGAAAGAUGCAAAGAACUUUGAAAAGAGAGUGAAAGAGUACCUGAAAUUGCUGAAAAGGAAGCUAACGAACCUAGUGAAAGCAAUGUCAUACUUUCCAACUUGCUCGCAACUUGGACGCUGUGACUUGCCAUGUUUCACUCCAUUGYUGCUGAUAUACACACAGGUGCAAGCAGGUGGAGAACAG